GUCGAGUUGCCAGAGUGGUUAAUGGGUAUGACUCGAACGUCUUCGGACUUAUAGAUAUCAUAUGGUUUCGGCCGCGUAGGUUCAAAUCCUGCACUCGACG
Acephala macrosclerotiorum is the source of this 100-nucleotide non-coding RNA. The record is from the annotation of a GenBank genome assembly. NCBI's taxonomy places the organism in Eukaryota, Fungi, Ascomycota, Leotiomycetes, Helotiales, Mollisiaceae.